Molecule: non-coding RNA, 1123 nt
Organism: Pelodiscus sinensis (Chinese soft-shelled turtle)
Lineage: Eukaryota; Metazoa; Chordata; Testudines; Trionychidae
Source: RefSeq, a predicted model, not a curated record
UUCCUGAUUGGCUUGUUGCUUACGAUCCUGACGGACAUCAUUCACUUGAGCAUCUAUUAUCCCCGGGGUCACAAUCUAACGGACCUGCAGCGCUUCACUGCGGGCAUGGCCAUCUUCAGCCUCCUCCUCAAACCCUUGUCUUGCUUCUUUGUCUAUCAGAUGUACCGGGAGCGUGGGGGAGAGUACGCCUUCAACCUAGGUUUUCCCACCGUGAGCCGGGAUCGCAGUGCCUACCAGUCGAUUGAUCAGCAAGAUGUACCAUGCCCAUACCCUGACCUGGACAGCAAGCCAGCCCCACGUCCUUUCUGAGGCAUUCCUCCUUGCCAGAAACAGAGAACAGGACUUCACUGAUGUUCCCCCUCCUCCACCCAACAACAAAUAAAACUACCCUGCCCUGUUCCCCUCCCUCCCCCUUCUGGUGUACAAGCAAGAGAGGAUCUAAUUUUGUGCUCCUAGAACAUCUAUCCUUUCCUGAAACUCUGUCGGUGGAUUGGGUCCUGCACGGAGUCCUAUUGAUGUCAGUGUAAGAACUAUGAGGCUGUAUAACCCCACCCCGUCUUGCACUGGGAUGUCACUGUUGGCUGAGUAGUUGCGUGCUCCUUUCCCAUAGGCUCCCAAAUCCUGCUCUCCACAGCUCCUGCAUCACAGAUCCGCCUCACUGCCCAAGGUGUUCAUGGAGAAGCUGGCUCUUUUAAAUGUCCAUAUGUUUGGGCAGCAAUCAGUUGAGCCAGAGGGGGUGACGCUGGGUUGUAUGUACCAAUCUCACUAGUUGUUGCCAAUGGAGUUUGCAUAAAUCUGUUUCAGCGAGGUGGAUGUUCACAAAGUUGUAUUUUUCAUGCUCAUAACUGCCCAGAGUAACUGCACACUGGGCUGGAUAAAGGUGGGUCGGCACAGCCAAGGAGCUCUCGUAUUUCCUCUACCUAGUCUUGGGUUGUCGUUGUUUGAUUGUAUGUAAGUUUCAAGUCCAUCAGGACCCUGUGCGAUUACUGUUACUUGUGCGUUGUAAAUACGUUGUGCCUUCAAACACUUUUUGCCUUCACUGGACAACUACAUAGAACUUUUUUUAUUUCUAAAAUAAAAUGAGCACAGUACCACUGAAGUUAGAACUGUGUGUUAAAAAUUA